UCGCCUGACAAACCUUCACGGCAGCAGCGGGAGAACCACAUCCGGGCGACCUCACGGUCGCCCUCGGGGUGAAGCCGUCCCUGGACGGCAGGCCAACACUUCUCGGCCUAAUCCGACAGCUCAUCUCGCAGGCUGGAGAGGUAGACGAU
RNAcentral lists this small RNA (149 nucleotides) under Isoptericola dokdonensis. RNAcentral's name for it is "c-di-AMP sequence". It matches the Rfam family "c-di-AMP riboswitch aptamer (ydaO/yuaA leader)". From Rfam's summary of the family: This family represents a conserved RNA structure found upstream of the ydaO and yuaA genes in Bacillus subtilis and related genes in other bacteria. The ydaO/yuaA element is thought to act as a genetic "off" switch for the ydaO and yuaA genes in its native state. The record is from RNAcentral. RNAcentral also lists the same sequence under 1 other name. Lineage: Bacteria; Bacillati; Actinomycetota; Actinomycetes; Micrococcales; Promicromonosporaceae.